CUGCUGCCUUUCAGGGGAGCUAUAAAUACUCCUAGCCAGUUUGAUUAAAUAAUGCCACAGAAUGAGGGUGAGGAGGGCCAGGUGUUCUGGGAAACCUGUACAGCUGCCAAUAAUUGGACUAAAAAAUGCAGAGGCUCCAGCUUGGCUGGCAGGAUGAAUACAGCGUAGGGAGAGAAAAGGGCUUCCCAGGCCCAGCUCCCCAAAAGCCAGUGGAUACGGGGGAAAGGGCUGUGUUGAUGCUCCCAGGAGGAACUUCCAAUGAAGCCAAGGACUCUGGGGCUUGAGUGGACUCUCUGCCCAGGUGAGCAGUGCCAGGCUCAGAAGAGGACCCUGAUGGAGUGCACAGAGCCUGGCGGGGAGAUGCUCAGAGCAGGUGCAUUCAUAGCUGCUGUCGGGAUGCCCUGCUCUGAGCAGGGAAAGGGCAGUGGGUACAUGAGCUCCACACUUUCCCCACAGGGCUGGUGUGUUCUCAUGGGCCUCAGCCAGCAGGUGCCCUUAGCCCUCCAAGUGGCUCAUCCAGAACCAUGUCUCUGGGCAUUUUAAGGCAUGGGGGAGGAGUGUUUUCUUGGCAAAGAUAAGCAGAAUGCAAGAAAUAAAUAGCUUCUCAUGUGCAUAUAAUUAUACUGAGGCUCAGUGAUUACUCGGGAUCCUGACUUGGAAUAAAGUCAACAAUUCAGCAGUCUCCUAAAGACUUUGUCCAGCCCCACCUCCCUCAUGUUUUAGAGCCUGUGAUCCUAUUACCAUCAGGACAUCAAAUGUUUCACCUUUUUCUCCUUCAUGAUGUGGAGGAGACUUGCUUUGGAAAGCUGGUCUUCCAAUCUGAGAUGGCCUCAGCCCAGGAGAUGUGCUGGGAGCAUAAGGGGAGUUGUGUCCCCCACUUCAUGCCAGAUCCGCUUCUACUGCUCCCUCGAAGGAACUCUCAUCCUGGACGUUUGGCCACCUGUGAGGAAAAGAGGCAUUUGAUUUUCUGCAGAGGUCAACUCUUGUAAAAGCCUCUGUUCCUCAUCCUUCAACAGAGCAGCCACAUGUAUCAUUCCAGGCCCCACUUAAAAUCAGAAAACCUAAGUGGGCACAGGAACAAGCUCAGGCUUUAAACUGCUUGUUGCUGGUGUAAUGUGUGAAUAGUGCAUCUUUGGUGUAGAUUCUAAAACAAAACUUGGAGAGCAACCCUGGUGACAGUGGUCACAGGCAGAGUCUGCUGUAUCUGUCCCCCAAACUUAUGCCUUCCUCCACACUGAGCAGCACCAGCAAAGGGUGCUUGUGAAUCAGGAUGUUGUUAAACAAGCUGGGAGAAGAGAAACCACA
RNAcentral lists this long non-coding RNA (1305 nucleotides) under Homo sapiens (human). RNAcentral's name for it is "HSALNT0023673". Lineage: Eukaryota; Metazoa; Chordata; Mammalia; Primates; Hominidae. The record is from RNAcentral.